AUUAACGCUGGCGGCGUGCAUAACACAUGCAAGUCGAACGAUGAAACUUAAAUGAUUUCUUCGGAAUGAACUUAAGUGGAUUAGUGGCGGACGGGUGAGUAACGCGUGAGUAACCUGCCUUACACAAGGGGAUAGCCGUUGGAAACGACGAAUAAUACCCUAUGAAACUAUCACUUCGCAUGAAGCGAUAGUCAAAGUGUUAGCGGUGUAAGAUGGACUUGCGUCUGAUUAGCUAGUUGGUGAGAAAAAAGCCCACCAAGGCAACGAUCAGUAGCCGGCUUGAGAGAGUGUACGGCCACAUUGGGACUGAGACACGGCCCAGACUCCUACGGGAGGCAGCAGUGGGGAAUUUUGCACAAUGGGGGAAACCCUGAUGCAGCGACGCCGCGUGAUUUAGAAGGCCUUCGGGUUGUAAAAAUCUUUUGUAUAGGAAGAAAAUGACAGUACUAUACGAAUAAGGGCCGGCUAAUUACGUG
RNAcentral lists this ribosomal RNA (476 nucleotides) under uncultured bacterium. RNAcentral describes it as "partial 16S ribosomal RNA". It matches the Rfam family "Bacterial small subunit ribosomal RNA", at positions 29 to 507 of the family's 1533-position model. The record is from RNAcentral.